RNAcentral lists this ribosomal RNA (253 nucleotides) under uncultured bacterium. RNAcentral's name for it is "partial 16S ribosomal RNA". It matches the Rfam family "Bacterial small subunit ribosomal RNA", at positions 524 to 776 of the family's 1533-position model. The record is from RNAcentral.
UACGUAGGGGGCAAGCGUUGUCCGGAUUUAUUGGGCGUAAAGAGCGUGUAGGCGGCUUUACAGGUCCGCUGUGAAAACUCGAGGCUCAACCUCGAGCUGUCGGUGGAAACCGUAAGGCUAGAGUCCUGGAGAGGAAGGUGGAAUGCUUGGUGUAGAGGUGAAAUUCGUAGAUAUCAAGCGGAACACCGGUGGCGAAGGCGGCCUUCUGGACAGUGACUGACGCUGAGACGCGAAAGCGUGGGGAGCAAACAGG